UAAUACGUAGGCAGCGAGCGUUGUUCGGAAUUACUGGGCGUAAAGCGUGCGUAGGCGGUGCCUCAAGUUUGGUGUGAAAUCUCCCGGCUCAACCGGGAGGGUGCGCCGAAAACUGAGGUGCUCGAGUGUGGGAGAGGUAAGCGGAAUUCCUGGUGUAGCGGUGAAAUGCGUAGAUAUCAGGAGGAACACCGGCGGUGUAGACGGCUUACUGGACCAUAACUGACGCUGAGGCACGAAAGUGUGGGGAGCAAACAGGAUUAGAUACCCUGGUAGUCCACACCCUAAACGAUGCAUACUUGGUGUGAGCCAUUCAUUUGGUUCGUGCCGGAGCUAACGCGUUAAGUAUGCCGCCUGGGGAGUACGGUCGCAAGGCUG
Molecule: ribosomal RNA, 375 nt
Filed under: uncultured bacterium
Lineage: Bacteria
Description: bacterial SSU rRNA
Rfam family: Bacterial small subunit ribosomal RNA
Source: RNAcentral